UCGCCUCGAUGCCGGCCUCGACGCAGCCGAACCGGCUCUUCGUUCACUCGGCGACGUCGCACGGGUUCACGAGCAACGACACCAAGAAACUGGUGGCCGGUCUGCCGCAGAAGACCAUCUUUGACUCGCUCCAUGAGGCCGGCCUCUCCUUCGGCAUCUACUACCAGUAUCCCCCGGCCACUCUCUUCUACAGGUGCGCCUCUCUCUCUCUCUCUCUCUCUCAACGACAAAAAGAAACCAGUAUUAGCAAUAUAUGGGAAAUAUUUUCAUGAUGAUAUAUGACAUGACAUCGUUGGAUUGCAAUGAAGAGCAUGAUAUCAUCAUCAAUGUUAUCACCGUAAAUAAAAAGGCAUAAGAUAAAAUCUCCCUUCGAAUGCAACGUUGGUUAUAUCGACCUCAUCAUCGUCUUGUUUUUCCGACUCCGUCGUCGUCAUCGUCUCCUCCUCAAAAAUGUAUCACUAUGAGAAGUGUCAGUAUCGUGGUUGCCCAACAAACUCGAGCUAAUCUGGCUCUGACGGCAGCGUUGCCACAAUUCCCUGCUCUCUGUCGUCAGAGAUCGUGGCGAAGACUUAGUCAAACGAGCCACCCAACAUCUAUUAUCUUCGGUUCCUAGGCCUGCUCUCCGAUUGUUCACCAAAAGUCUCCCCGGUGCAGCACAUUGUUUUAGGCAUCGCCUUAGCGGUUUAGGUCAUUUCUUUAGCAUUUGUUUGAAUCAUUGGCGAUACUUAUCUCCCGAUUGACUGAUAAACAUGAUCAUCUCAGCCAUGCCCCACUAGCGAGCCCUUAAAACAUUGACUAUCGGUAACUUGUGACGUUAAUUUUAUUCUCUUUUUCCUUAAAAUAUAGAACCGGAAUAAUCCAUCCAUUUUUCCAUUUUCUUUUAUGCAUUUUUAACACAAGCUUAUAUAAAUUUUGCAAGAAGCAAAAAAAUUGAAAAAUAUUGUCCUUUAUGGAAAUUUUAAAAUAAUAAUAAUAAUAAUUUAAAUCCGAUAUGCUUCUUAUCUCAAGUUUUAGAUGACUUGCUUCAUCUUUCACUAGUAUACUCGGGAAGGCAGGCAGUCUUCAACUCCAGGAUGACCAUUCCUGAGUCUGUUAUGAAUCUCCUCCUCUCUAGCAUUCCUGUAAAUUGCUCGUUCGAUUCAGCUACGACUGUGAGCGUGCAUGCAUGUGACAUUCAUUGGACGUCGAUGACGACAGGAACCUUCGGCAGUUGAAGUAUGUGGGCGACUUCCACCCCUUCGAUCUAAAGUUCAAGAAACACUGCAAGAAAGGGAAGCUGCCCAACUACGUCGUCAUCGAGCAGCGCUACUUCGACCUGAAACUCCUGCCGGGGAACGACGAUCACCCCUC
RNAcentral lists this long non-coding RNA (1350 nucleotides) under Musa acuminata (dwarf banana). Its description in RNAcentral is "long non-coding RNA (MACU_LNC004498)". Lineage: Eukaryota; Viridiplantae; Streptophyta; Magnoliopsida; Zingiberales; Musaceae. The record is from RNAcentral.